CCUACGGGAGGCAGCAGUGGGGAAUAUUGCACAAUGGGCGAAAGCCUGACGCAGCAAUGCCGCGUGAGUGAAGAAGGUCUUCGGAUUGUAAAAUUCUAUCCGCUGGGAAGAAAAAAACGAUGUUACCAUAGUAAGAAGCUCCUGCUAACUACGUACCAGCAGCCGUGGUAAUACGGAGGGGGCGAGCGUCGUACGGAAUUACUGGGCGUAAAGAGAGCGUAGGCGGCACUACAAGUCUCAUGUGAAAUACCCGGGCUUAACUUGGGGGUUGCAUGGGAAACUGUAGAGCUUGAGUGCAGGAGAGGUAAGCGGAAUUCCUAGUGUAGCGGUGAAAUGCGUAGAUAUUAGGAGGAACACCAGUGGCGAAGGCGGCUUCCUGGACUGAAACUGACGCUGAGGCUCGAAAGCGUGGGGAGCAAACAGGAUUAGAUACCCGAGUAGUC
RNAcentral lists this ribosomal RNA (443 nucleotides) under uncultured bacterium. RNAcentral's name for it is "partial 16S ribosomal RNA". It matches the Rfam family "Bacterial small subunit ribosomal RNA", at positions 338 to 795 of the family's 1533-position model. The record is from RNAcentral.